GACGAACGCUGGCGGCGUGCUUAACACAUGCAAGUCGAACGAAGUGGCGAACGUGUGAGUAACGCGUAAUCAACCUGACCUUCAGAGGGGGACAACAGGUGGAAAAGAAUGCUAAUACCGCAUACUGAAGGCGGGGAUUGCGUAUGAUUAGCUAGUUGGAGGGGUAACGGCCCACCAAGGCGAUGAUCAGUAGCCGGUCUUGGAUGAUGAACGGCCACAUUGGGACUUAGACACGGCCCAGACUCCUACGGGAGGCAGCAGUGGGGAAUCUUCCGCAAUGGACGAAAGUAUGACGGAGCAACGCCGCGUGAGUGAUGACGGCCUUCGGGUUGUAAAGCUCUGUUAAUCGGGACGCGGUACCGGAAUAGAAAGCCACGGCUAACUACGUGCCAGCAGCCGCGGUAAUAC
RNAcentral lists this ribosomal RNA (408 nucleotides) under uncultured bacterium. Its description in RNAcentral is "partial 16S ribosomal RNA". It matches the Rfam family "Bacterial small subunit ribosomal RNA", at positions 28 to 526 of the family's 1533-position model. The record is from RNAcentral.